CUUGGAAUGGCUGUGCCCUGUGGGGGCUCUACAUCUUCUAGACUGCAAGUGGAAGAAAAGGGGUCAUCACAGAAGGGCAGGAAGUUCAAGAUGCCAAAAAUAAGGGAGAGUGCUUUUGGAAACCUUUGGUCAAAGGUCCCCACAGACAGGACUUCCCCUGUGUCUGAUUCAACUCCAUUUGGCCAGCUUUCAAACGCCUACUUCUUGCUGGACUCUGUACUGCAUGGCAAGAGGUUUACAGAUAGACUGCCAGUGGAAGAUGGUUUAAAACUGUCACAGUGAGAUGCUGGGAAAGACAGCCAUAGGAUACUGUGGAUGCCCCGCAAAAGGACAGUUGUCUAAACUGGAGGCUGAGGGUCCUUCCUGGAGGCAGAAGGGUAGGAGACGAGGCAAUAUGCAACAAGAAGCCGGAGAGGUGGCAGGUACCAGACUUCAGAUGUGGAAGUCAAGAAUGGAGAACUAGGCUGCCUGGAAGCUCAGACUACAAAUUCUUCCGGCACUUGGGUGCCUUAAACUUAGCAUCUUAGAGUUAUUUCAGCUUCAGCAAUCAUCUUAUCUGGUGCCACCAAAUAGAGUACCAGAGCAACAAGAGGCUCCCCUCUGUCACACCGGCAAUUAGAAGUAGAACUAGACGACAUGCGUGGGGUUUCCAAUGCCAUUAUCCAGCACUCUCUGCCACGCCCCUUAUCUUCUUCCUGGACCUAGAUAGAAGAGGCUUUCAGUCUGGAGUCAAGGCUCAUGAAACAGCAAGUCUGGAGCUGCCAUUUUGUGGGUACUACAGACCGUUCUUACAUCCCCUAGGGAUACUGGGAUAACACAGGAGGGGCCAGACACUGAAGAGCCCCAGGCAGAUCUGUCCCCGCAGUGCCCAGGAUGCUGAGGAUGGGUACAAUUUUCAUCAGGUGAUAUCCGCCCCGCUCCCACAUUAUUGACCACGUGAGCAGAGACAGGCUCUUACCACGACGGCAUCACUGAGCACCCCACAGCCCCCAACGCUCUGGGCUGGGGUUCCCAGGCCAGGUCUUAGGUUGCAUCCCCAACCUAGACCCUGACCUUCCCCGCUUGACUAUGGACCUCCACUUAUCUUGACUGAACCCAGAGAACCAGAACAAGAGGAUUGAAGCUCUGGCUGAGGAAAUGCAGAGAUGCAGAUGCGGCCUGCGGUCCAUUGCAGAGAGAUUUUGGUAAAAGUGAUUUUGGAUGCUUUAUCACAAGUCCAGGGCCCUCCACGACCAAUCUCAGAAUCCCUUUCCUUUCUAGUCUCUCAAACGUCAACAGGCCAGCAAUACAGUCUCAUCACCAAAUGCAUCUCAGCAAAGAAAGGCUUGAAAAUAAACAUACGGGAAAAAUGGGAUCAUUGAAGAAAAUGGACUCAAAGCACAACUCAAUUCAAGCUUGAUCUUGGGGCCUAUCCUCUUCUGCUGAUAAACUCAACGAAUCAAAAAGGGUGCAUUCUCUUUUUUCUAGGGCUACCUUUGUGGGUGUGGCCGAGCCCAGCCACAUUGAAUCAACCAGGCACACACAAGGCUGGAUGCUCCAAGGUCACCCAGGGCAGCAGAUGACGCCUUCAUGCCGUAGCUUUGCCCAGGGCCUCCCUCUCCAGGUGUGUCUACGUGCUUCCCCACACGUCCCUGUCUCAUCCUAGGUUCCCUCCCCUCUUUCCCAGCCAGAGCCUCUGGGCUAUUGUUGGACCACAAGUCGU
This is a long non-coding RNA of Peromyscus maniculatus bairdii (prairie deer mouse), 1702 nucleotides long. RefSeq lists it as uncharacterized. The record is from RefSeq and is a predicted model, not a curated record. Lineage: Eukaryota; Metazoa; Chordata; Mammalia; Rodentia; Cricetidae.